CAGCCGCCGCGGUAAUACGUAGGGUGCAAGCGUUAAUCGGAAUUACUGGGCGUAAAGCGUGCGCAGGCGGUUAUAUAAGACAGAUGUGAAAUCCCCGGGCUGAACCUGGGAACUGCAUUUGUGACUGUAUAGCUAGAGUACGGCAGAGGGGGAUGGAAUUCCGCGUGUAGCAGUGAAAUGCGUAGAUAUGCGGAGGAACACCGAUGGCGAAGGCAAUCCCCUGGGCCUGUACUGACGCUCAUGCACGAAAGCGUGGGGAGCAAACAGGAUUAGAUACCCGUGUAGUCCCUGUCUCUUAUAC
This 301-nucleotide ribosomal RNA is filed under the name uncultured bacterium. RNAcentral's name for it is "partial 16S ribosomal RNA". It matches the Rfam family "Bacterial small subunit ribosomal RNA", at positions 509 to 807 of the family's 1533-position model. The record is from RNAcentral.